AUGGAUCACUGGAGUGAAAGUGAGGGCAAGAGAGUCCAUGAUCCUAUCUUCCAACCCCGCAUCAGCCAAAACUGCCGCCAGCCUGUUGAAGAAUUCUGCAGGGAGAGGAGCAAAGGUGCUGCUGUUACUCGCUUUGAGCGAUGUACCUGGGUUCCCGGUCCUAUUAUCGUGGGUGCAGGACCAUCAGGGCUUGCCGUUGCUGCAUGUCUCAAGGAGAAGGGUGUCGACAGCCUCAUCCUUGAACGCUCCAACUGCAUAGCUUCUCUGUGGCAACUCAAAACAUAUGAUCGUCUGAGCCUUCAUCUUCCACGGCAGUUCUGUGAGCUUCCUCUCAUGCCUUUCCCUGCUGAUUACCCUAUUUAUCCCUCAAAGGAGAAGUUUGUAGCGUACUUGGAGAAGUAUGCUGCGCGGUUCGGCAUCUGUCCCAGCUACAACCAUGCGGUGGUUUGUGCUGAGUAUGACGAGAAGCUUCUGUUAUGGCGGGUGAGAUCACAACUUACAGGCAAAAUGGAGGAGGAGGUGGAACAUAUAUCUCGGUGGUUGGUUGUGGCGACUGGUGAGAACGCUGAGGUUGUGCAGCCAGAGAUCGACGGACUAAAAGAGUUCAAGGGAACGGUUGUGCACACCAGUGCAUACAAAACUGGCCGUGCAUUUGCAGGGAAGCGUGUUCUUGUUGUUGGGUGUGGCAACUCUGGCAUGGAGGUCUGCCUAGAUCUCUGCGAUCACAAUGCACAGCCCCAUAUUGUAGUAAGAGACACUGUACACAUCUUGCCCAGGGAGAUGCUGGGUCAGUCUACCUUUGGGCUGUCAAUGUGGUUGCUCAAGUGGUUCCCAGUACACGUGGUGGACCGGAUUCUACUGCUCGUAGCACGGACCAUGCUUGGGGAUACUGCUCGGCUUGGGCUAAAGCGGCCUACCGUCGGUCCCCUCGAGCUCAAGUCACUCUCAGGGAAGACCCCAGUUCUUGAUGUUGGCACAUUUGCAAAGAUUAGGUCUGGUGAUAUCAAGGUGUAUCCGGGCAUCAAGAAAAUAUCAGGACAACAGGUAGAAUUUUUGGAUACACGGUCGGAGGACUUUGAUGCAAUUGUGCUUGCCACUGGCUACAAGAGCAACGUCCCCUUCUGGUUGAAGGACCGGGAGUUGUUUUCGGACAAAGAUGGAUUGCCAAGAAAAGCAUUUCCAAACGGAUGGAAGGGUGAGGGGGGGCUCUACUCGGUCGGACUCACCCGGCGUGGCCUGAUGGGAACCUCAGUCGAUGCGAGGAGGAUAGCUCACGACAUCGAGCAGCAGUUGAGUGCUGAAGGGAAGCUCUAG
Molecule: ribosomal RNA, 1314 nt
Filed under: Triticum aestivum (bread wheat)
Lineage: Eukaryota; Viridiplantae; Streptophyta; Magnoliopsida; Poales; Poaceae
Description: partial small subunit ribosomal RNA
Source: RNAcentral